Molecule: long non-coding RNA, 189 nt
Organism: Lutra lutra (Eurasian river otter)
Lineage: Eukaryota; Metazoa; Chordata; Mammalia; Carnivora; Mustelidae
Exons: 3
Source: RefSeq, a predicted model, not a curated record
UUUAAAAUUUUCAGCGUAACAGUAUUCCUUGUUUUUGCACCACACCCAGUGCUCCAUGCAAUCCGUGCCCUCUCCAAUACCCACCACCUGGUUCCCCCAACCUCCCACCCCCCCGCCGCCGCUUCAAACCCUUCAGAGUGUUAUUCAGAGUCUACAGUCUCUCAUGGUUCGUCUCCCUCUCUGAUUUAC